RNAcentral lists this transfer RNA (90 nucleotides) under Thermothelomyces hinnuleus. RNAcentral describes it as "tRNA-Glu". It matches the Rfam family "tRNA". Rfam says of the family: Transfer RNA (tRNA) molecules are approximately 80 nucleotides in length. RNAcentral also lists the same sequence under 1 other name. Lineage: Eukaryota; Fungi; Ascomycota; Sordariomycetes; Sordariales; Chaetomiaceae. The record is from RNAcentral.
UCGGAUAUGGUGUAAUGGUCAACAUCGUUGACUCUCAUUGCUCAGCAGUGAAGCCCUCAACAGCUCCGGGUUCGAUUCCCGGUAUCCGAG